RNAcentral lists this ribosomal RNA (441 nucleotides) under uncultured bacterium. RNAcentral's name for it is "bacterial SSU rRNA". It matches the Rfam family "Bacterial small subunit ribosomal RNA", at positions 958 to 1397 of the family's 1533-position model. The record is from RNAcentral.
AACGCGAAGAACCUUACCUGGGUUUGAACUUCAGUGGCAAGGCUCAGAGAUGAGUCCCUCCCUUCGGGGAUCGCUGGAGAGGUGCUGCAUGGCUGUCGUCAGCUCGUGUCGUGAGAUGUUGGGUUAAGUCCCGCAACGAGCGCAACCCUUGUCCAUAGUUACUAACGGGUCAUGCCGAGAACUCUAUGGAGACUGCCGGUGAUAAACCGGAGGAAGGUGGGGAUGACGUCAAGUCCUCAUGGCCUUUAUGUCCAGGGCUACACACGUGCUACAAUGGACGGCACAAAGAGUCGCAAAACCGCGAGGUUGAGCUAAUCUCAAAAAACCGUUCUCAGUUCGGAUUGCAGUCUGCAACUCGACUGCAUGAAGCUGGAAUCGCUAGUAAUCGCGGAUCAGCACGCCGCGGUGAAUACGUUCCCGGGCCUUGUACACACCGCGAGC